This 395-nucleotide ribosomal RNA is filed under the name Phylloscopus valentini latouchei. RNAcentral describes it as "Seicercus valentini latouchei partial 12S ribosomal RNA". It matches the Rfam family "Bacterial small subunit ribosomal RNA", at positions 794 to 1384 of the family's 1533-position model. Lineage: Eukaryota; Metazoa; Chordata; Aves; Passeriformes; Phylloscopidae. The record is from RNAcentral. RNAcentral also lists the same sequence under 1 other name.
GCCUGGCCCUAAAUCUUGAUGCUCGAUCUUACCGGAGCAUCCGCCCGAGAACUACGAGCACUAACGCUUAAAACUCUAAGGACUUGGCGGUGUCCCAAACCCACCUAGAGGAGCCUGUUCUGUAAUCGAUGAUCCACGAUAUACCUGACCAUUCCUCGCCAGAUCAGCCUAUAUACCGCCGUCGCCAGCCCACCCAGCAUGAAGGACCAACAGUGGACGCAAUAGCCUCACCCGCUAAUAAGACAGGUCAAGGUAUAGCCUAUGGAAUGGAAGCAAUGGGCUACAUUUUCUAAGCUAGAACAUAACGGCAAAGGGACAUGAAACUGACCCUGGAAGGAGGAUUUAGCAGUAAAGUGGGACAAUCGAGCCCUCUUUAAGCCGGCCCUGGGACACGU